AGAGGAUUAAUCCUGAUUUGAACUCUUCGAAUUUGAAGUGCUUAUGUACUAUGAUUUGAAUAUGGUUUAUCCCCAUCCAAAGUCAUGUUGAGGAUGGGUUCCCAAUGUGACAGUGUUGGGAGGUGGUACCCUUAAGAGGCAUUUGUGUCAUGGGGAAUCUCUCCUGAUGAGGGUAUGAAUGCAGUCUCUUUGGAGUGGGAGAGUUCUUGUGCUCAUGGGACUGGAUUAGUUACUGUGAGGAGGUUGGUUGUUAUAAAGUGAGUCUGCCUCUUGUGCUUGGUGUCUUUUGCGUGUACCUGUUUCCCCUUUUGUUUCUUUGCCAUGUUUUGAUGCCCUCAAAAGAAGUUGUCGGAUGUGACUGCCCAGUCUUGAACUUCCCAGCCCUCAAAACUAACAGAACAUAUCUUCCAGUAGCUUCC
This 419-nucleotide long non-coding RNA is filed under the name Homo sapiens (human). RNAcentral describes it as "non-protein coding lnc-ARMCX1-1:6". Lineage: Eukaryota; Metazoa; Chordata; Mammalia; Primates; Hominidae. The record is from RNAcentral.